RNAcentral lists this ribosomal RNA (379 nucleotides) under uncultured eukaryote. Its description in RNAcentral is "partial 18S ribosomal RNA". It matches the Rfam family "Eukaryotic small subunit ribosomal RNA", at positions 592 to 975 of the family's 1831-position model. The record is from RNAcentral.
CAAUAGCGUAUAUUAAAGUUGUUGCGGUUAAAAAGCUCGUAGUUGGAUUUCUGCUGAGAACGACCGGUCCGCCCUCUGGGUGUGUAUCUGGCUCUUUCUUGGCAUCUUCUUGGUGAACGUUGCUGCACUUGACUGUGUGGAGCGCUACCCAGGACUUUUACUUUGAGGAAAUUAGAGUGUUUCAAGCAGGCAUACGCCUUGAAUACAUUAGCAUGGAAUAAUAAGAUAGGACCUCGGUUCUAUUUUGUUGGUUUCUAGAGCUGAGGUAAUGAUUAAUAGGGAUAGUUGGGGGCAUUCGUAUUUAACUGUCAGAGGUGAAAUUCUUGGAUUUGUUAAAGACGGACUACCGCGAAAGCAUUUGCCAAGGAUGUUUUCAUUG